This 257-nucleotide ribosomal RNA is filed under the name uncultured bacterium. RNAcentral describes it as "partial 16S ribosomal RNA". It matches the Rfam family "Bacterial small subunit ribosomal RNA", at positions 524 to 776 of the family's 1533-position model. The record is from RNAcentral.
CACGUAGGCACCAAGCGUUGUCCGGAUUUAUUGGGCGUAAAGAGCUCGUAGGCGGUUCAGUAAGUCAGGUGUGAAAUCUUUGGGCUUAACCCAAAGCGUGCACUUGAUACUGCUGUGACUUGAGUUCGGUAGGGGAGUGGGGAAUUCCUAGUGUAGCGGUGAAAUGCGCAGAUAUUAGGAGGAAACACCGGUGGCGAAGGCGCCACUCUGGGGCCGAAACUGACGCUGAGGAGCGAAAAGCGUGGGUAGCAAACAGG